UGCUAGUCGUGCGCCUCCAGCCACGGUGGAGGCGCGGCGCACAGCUCAGUAACACGUGGCUAACCUGCCCUUGGGACGGGGACAACCCCGGGAAACUGGGGCUAAUCCCCGAUAGGCGAGGACACCUGGAAUGGGUCUUCGCCGAAAGGGCGUCUAGACCAUGCUUCUAGACGCUGCCCAAGGAUGGGGCCGCGGCCGAUCAGGUAGUUGGUGAGGUAACGGCUCACCAAGCCUAUAACCGGUACGGGCCGUGGGAGCGGGAGCCCGGAGAUGGACAUUGAGACAAGGGUCCAGGCCCUACGGGGCGCAGCAGUCGCGAAACCUCCGCAAUACGCGAAAGCGUGACGGGGUCACCCCGAGUGCCGUCCGCUGAGGACGGCUUUUCCCCAGUGUAGCCAGCUGGGGGAAUAAGGGGAGGGCAAGUCGGGUGUCAGCCGCCGCGGUAAUACCCGCUCCCCGAGUGGUGGGGACGCUUAUUGGGCCUAAAGCAUCCGUAGCCGGCUGGACAAGUCCCCUGUUAAAUCCAGCGAUUCAAUCGCUGGACUGCGGGGGAUACUGUCCAGCUAGGGGGCGGGAGAGGCCAGCGGUAUUCCCGGGGUAGGGGUGAAAUCUUAUAAUCCCGGGAGGACCACCAGUGGCGAAGGCUGCUGGCUGGAACGCGCCCGACGGUGAGGGAUGAAAGCUGGGGGAGCGAACCGGAUU
This 702-nucleotide ribosomal RNA is filed under the name uncultured archaeon. RNAcentral describes it as "bacterial SSU rRNA". It matches the Rfam family "Archaeal small subunit ribosomal RNA", at positions 52 to 730 of the family's 1478-position model. The record is from RNAcentral.